This is a non-coding RNA of Pelobates cultripes (western spadefoot toad), 77 nucleotides long. The record is from the annotation of a GenBank genome assembly. Lineage: Eukaryota; Metazoa; Chordata; Amphibia; Anura; Pelobatidae.
GAAACCUCCCACCCCAAAAAAUUGGGAGGGGAAUGGUGGGGGCCAUUCCCCUCCCAAUUUUUUGGGGUGGGAGGUUU